GCAAGUCGAACGGGGGCGCAUCCUUCGGGGUGUUGCCUUAGUGGCAGACGGGUGAGUAACACGUGGGAACCUGCCCUGGAGUGGGGGACAACCGCUGGAAACGGCGGCUAAUACCGCAUAUUCCCUGAGGGGGAAAGGCUUCGGCCGCUCUAGGAGGGGCCCGCGUCCGAUUAGCUUGUUGGUGGGGUAAAGGCCUACCAAGGCGACGAUCGGUAGCUGGUCUGAGAGGAUGAUC
Molecule: ribosomal RNA, 235 nt
Filed under: uncultured bacterium
Lineage: Bacteria
Description: partial 16S ribosomal RNA
Rfam family: Bacterial small subunit ribosomal RNA
Source: RNAcentral